GAGUUUGAUCCUGGCUCAGAACGAACGCCGGCGGCGUGCCUAACACAUGCAAGUCGAGCGGGAAAGUUCCCUUCGGGGAGCGAGUACAGCGGCGAACGGGUGAGUAACACGUGAGCAACCUGCCCUGGACUUUGGGAUAACCCUCGGAAACGGGGGCUAAUACCGAAUACAACCUUUACUCGCAUGGGUUUUGGUGGAAAGUUUUUCGGUCUGGGAUGGGCUCGCGGCCUAUCAGCUUGUUGGUGGGGUGAUGGCCUACCAAGGCGACGACGGGUAGCCGGCCUGAGAGGGCGACCGGCCACACUGGACUGAGACACGGCCCAGACUCCUACGGGAGGCAGCAGUGGGGAAUAUUGCACAAUGGGCGAAAGCCUGACGCAGCGACGCCGCGUGGGGGAUGAAGCUUCUCGGAGUGUAAACCCCUUUCGACCCGGACGAAUGACCCGCAAGGGUUUGACGGUACGGGUAUAAGAAGCCCCGGCUAACUACGUGCCAGCAGCCGCGGUAAUACGUAGGGGGCCAGCGUUGCUCGGAAUUACUGGGCGUAAAGGGUUCGUAGGCGGUGCGGCAAGUUGGGAGUGAAAUCUCUGGGCUUAACCCAGAGGCUGCUUUCAAAACUGCCGUGCUCGAGUGCGAGAGAGGUCAGUGGAAUUGCAGGUGUAGCGGUGAAAUGCGUAGAUAUCUGCAGGAACACCCGUGGCGAAGGCGGCUGACUGGAUCGCAACUGACGCUGAGGAGCGAAAGCAUGGGGAGCGAACAGGAUUAGAUACCCUGGUAGUCCAUGCCGUAAACGUUGGGCACUAGGUGUGGGGGACAUUCCACGUUUUCCGCGCCGUAGCUAACGCAUUAAGUGCCCCGCCUGGGGAGUACGGCCGCAAGGCUAAAACUCAAAGGAAUUGACGGGGGCCCGCACAAGCGGCGGAGCAUGCGGAUUAAUUCGAUGCAACGCGAAGAACCUUACCAAGGCUUGACAUGGGCCGGACCGGGCUGGAAACAGUCCUUCCCCUUUGGGGCCGGUUCACAGGUGGUGCAUGGUUGUCGUCAGCUCGUGUCGUGAGAUGUUGGGUUAAGUCCCGCAACGAGCGCAACCCUCGUUCCAUGUUGCCAGCGCGUAAUGGCGGGGACUCAUGGGAGACUGCCGGGGUCAACUCGGAGGAAGGUGGGGACGACGUCAAAUCAUCAUGCCCCUUAUGUCUUGGGCUUCACGCAUGCUACAAUGGCCGGUACAAAGGGUUGCGAUACUGUGAGGUGGAGCUAAUCCCAAAAAGCCGGUCUCAGUUCGGAUUGGGGUCUGCAACUCGACCCCAUGAAGUCGGAGUCGCUAGUAAUCGCAGAUCAGCAACGCUGCGGUGAUACGUUCCCGGGCCUUGCACACAC
RNAcentral lists this ribosomal RNA (1377 nucleotides) under uncultured Actinomycetes bacterium. RNAcentral describes it as "bacterial SSU rRNA". It matches the Rfam family "Bacterial small subunit ribosomal RNA". Lineage: Bacteria; Bacillati; Actinomycetota; Actinomycetes. The record is from RNAcentral.